CUUUCGCGCCUCCGCCCCUGGGUUGGCGGACAGGGGAAGGAGCGAAGAUGGCGGAGUGAGGCGUGCCCCGGGCAGCUGGCCUGCGGGCCCGGGGCAGGCCUCCCGUGAGAAGCGGAGUACUUGUGCUGGACCGUGUGAGGAACCAUAUCACACAAGAUGAAUAUUUUCCUGACCUUAGGUGCUUUUAUAUUCAGCUCAACAUUCUGAACUCAGGACUUGGCACGUAAGUAGAUAGAGAUAAUCAUCCCAAGUCCUGUUGUAGCGGCUUGAAAGGCUCCAUAGAAGCGACAUACUAAACUGUUAAGAGCAACAGAAGAUGAAGAUAAAAAUGAGUACAAGCCAGCUACCAUGGCUCACCUUUAUGCCCAGCUCUUGGGACCUGGGGAACUGAGGAAUUCCUAUGUGGACUGCUCAGUGAGGCGUCCUGGUUCUUCCAUCCUGUUACUUUCCCCAGUGAGAUGCAGAUGUCUUUCGACAGAUUACCUCCAUGGUUUAGGAUGCAGAGACUGCCUUUCUUUUACGUCAGACUCAACACAGGAAAGCCGUGAGGAUGCAGCCGUCCUGUUGACUUCAGCAAGAAAACAAACCAUGGACUUGGGUCUUCUGCAGCUUUUGAAUUGGAAAGACGGUGUUUGCAAGUAGAAGGAAGAUGCUGAAUUUGAAACAAGUGCUUAGGUUCUGUGGCGUGAGUUGUUUUCUUUUUAAAAGAUCCAAACAAGAAGACUGAACAAAUACCAAGUGUGGGUGACUUCAGGUUUUUUUUUUAAUGUCUUCCAAUUUUAACACUAUUAUAAGCACAGUUGACCGCAGUAAGUUCCAAAUAUUUAAUAUAAUUUGAAGUGAAAGAAAUGUUAUCUAAAUUCUGGCUCACUCUUUGACAGUUUUCCUGGACAAAAACAAGAUACGAUAAAAGCAGAAACCAGGUUUGAUUUUGUAUGGGAGUGAAAUCAUUACAGUUUUAUGGGUAUAAAUCUACAUUUUUAAACAAGAUUUUUCUCUUGGAGAAGAAACCUGUUGUUUAUAAGAAGGCUUUGGACAGUUUAAUAGUCUUAAAUGUUCUGCUUUGCUGUUCUAGUCCUUCUCAGGAAGGCCCAGCUGGGCCUGUGGCUAGUUCAGAAUGGGAGGAAACAUAGGCUGGGACAAUGCUCACCCUGAACUGCCAGCGUGUGGGAGGCCAAGGCAGGAAGAGCAGAUGUUCAGGGCCAGCUUGGACAUCAAGAGGCUCAAAACCAGUAGGAAAAAAAACAGAGCCCAGUAACACCCUCUUUUAUAUUCCUUUUGUGGAAUCAUGUAGCAUGUGAGACUGGGUUGGAAGGGAACUGGCAUAUGUGGUAUUUCAGUUAAGGUGAUGUGGUGGACCCUGAUGUGUAACUGGCCUUCACCUUUGGACAUACAGGAAUGAAGGAAAAACUAAAGCUUGGCAUAUAAAUCUUUUCUUCUAAGAAAAAGAAGCAAAGCUGUCUAAUGUAGCAUUGUCUGACUUUUCAACAUUUUUACUUUAUGUGGUUGCAUUUUUUUAUAAAAGUAUAAAUAAGUUCCUUCAACCCAAAA
Molecule: long non-coding RNA, 1551 nt
Organism: Mus musculus (house mouse)
Lineage: Eukaryota; Metazoa; Chordata; Mammalia; Rodentia; Muridae
Gene: Oip5os1
Product: Opa interacting protein 5, opposite strand 1
Exons: 3
Source: RefSeq, marked validated